AGGUGGCUGGCUUUUAGCCAGGCCAAAACAGAGCCAGCAAUUCGCAACUGAGGUUCCGAGGUUGCAUCACAGAGAGCAGACAAGUUGCUGGUUGCUGGUUGCUGGCUGUUUGAGCUGCAUCAUCAUCGUCAUGUGCAUAAUUCGAUUUCUGGACCGGCCACUACAUAUCUCAGCCCCUACGCGCAGCGCCGACCGGCUGUAACAAAAACAAUUCAAUUUGCCAUUGUUAAAAGCCCGGUCGGCAAACCAAUUUGCGCUGCCUAAAAGCAAACCUAAUAGACCCUGAUGACUCUCGGAAUCCGGAAAAUGAAAUCCAGGGUCCAGACUCCAGUGCAACUGCACUGAUCCAUGACCUAUGUGUGGGUAUGGAAAUGUGCGCUUCGCUGCCCGCCAGCAAUUUUUUAAUGUGCCCCAGUAUCUGCAAGUGUAAUCUGAAAAGCCAAAAGUAUCUGGCCCACUCACACAGCGCACAUACUGCCAUAUAUCCAUACAUAUGUACAUAUAUCCAUAUAUCCACAUGGUCGUAUAGUCGCAGUUGGCAAGUGGUGUGUGCAUGUUGCAAAUGACUAGGCGCCCAGAAAACGGCGUACAAUCGCGACGAAACGGGUUCUAGAUACAUUUUUCGGCGUAGAUAUAUAUCUAAACGGACGCAUCUACCAGCCACCGAAAGCAGCUGAGCUAGAACAGCCAGCAAUACAAAAACACCGACUGGAGGGACAGACAGACAGCGGCAAUUAUGUGCAGAGCUGGAACUGAAGACUGCGACUACGUUUAGUAUUUCACGCAGCACUGGAGAUACAAAAUACACAGGGAAAAUCACUUAGCAAGUUAACAAAAGAUUUGAACAAACUACUUUACUUGGUAGUUAAUGAGUUCAAAAGUUGUAAAUUGUAUUUUAUGAAUAUCCCCAAGUAGAUUUAGCUCAGAAUUAAACCUGAAGUUAUGGACUUCUUUUUUUUCUCUGCCAGCGGAUACAAAUGGCUGCCGAUGCCUUUGCCACUGCAACAUCAACAGGGGAGUCGAAAAAUAUACAAAUAUGUGUAAUCGUCGAACAAACAAGACACGAGCUUGCGAGCUUCUCCAGUGGCAUCCGCAGAAGGAAUCGGAAUCGAAAUUGGAAUCGUUGUAGUGUCUAGCUUCGUGUAUCUGGGCGCCUGUUCCAAUCUGUACAUCUUCAUUUUUCUAUCCAACCAUCCACGAUUUGCAGACCCGUAGAGUGAGUGUUUGUGUGCGCCCCGGUGCAUUUGUCAUGCCAAUGCCAACAAGCCAGCAAACUGGCAAACGGGCAAACGGACGACUUUCUUUAUGGCCAACGGCAGAAGAUGCAGCCACCGAAUAAAAAAAAAAAAAAUAACAACAGCAGUGCCAACUGCUAGUCAGCGGAAAAGCACUUAACCGCUCCUCGUUUCCCAAACAGCUGCUUGGGAAAUUUAGUAUCUGUUUUAGAUGCAAAUACAGCGUAUUGCAAUAAGCGUAUCAAGCGCCAUUAAUCUCAGCUGCAUCUUAGCCAAAUCAUGGACUACAAUCACCGCACUAUAUAAAUGCGUUUUGCCUAAAUAACUUUUUAAACAGCUGCAAGCCGAAAUUCUCGACAGUCUCUUCAGUCUGUCGGUCGGUCAGACGCAAUGUUUGAUACAAAAGGCUUCACAAACAAUUAAGUGGAAAACAUUUAUUUAUUUAUAGGCAAACCGGUUUGCUCAAGCUCAGUCAGUAGUGGCUAGAAUAAAAGUGGUAAGCUGUGGACGCUGGGGAAUGCGAGAGACGAGCGUUGCGUUGAGUUGGCUGAGUGUAACGAAAACGAAAUGAAAAACUCGGAAUAAAUCGAAUGAAAAAUUCCACAAGUGAGGUACAGUUCGUCUCGGGGCUAAAAGAUAACUGCAGUUAAAUCGGAACUGCACUUCAUCGAAUAAGGUGGCAG
Drosophila melanogaster (fruit fly) is the source of this 1918-nucleotide non-coding RNA. The record is from Ensembl. Lineage: Eukaryota; Metazoa; Arthropoda; Insecta; Diptera; Drosophilidae.